This 468-nucleotide ribosomal RNA is filed under the name uncultured bacterium. Its description in RNAcentral is "partial 16S ribosomal RNA". It matches the Rfam family "Bacterial small subunit ribosomal RNA", at positions 28 to 507 of the family's 1533-position model. The record is from RNAcentral.
GACGAACGCUGGCGGCGUGCUUAACACAUGCAAGUCGAACGGAAGGGCCCUGCUUUUGUGGGGUGCUCGAGUGGCGAACGGGUGAGUAACACGUGAGUAACCUGCCCUUGACUUUGGGAUAACUUCAGGAAACUGGGGCUAAUACCGGAUAGGAGCUCCUGCUGCAUGGUGGGGGUUGGAAAGUUUCGGCGGGUGGGGAUGGACUCGCGGCUUAUCAUCUUGUUGGUGGGGUAGUGGCUUACCAAGGCUUUGACGGGUAGCCGGCCUGAGAGGGUGACCGGCCACAUUGGGACUGAGAUACGGCCCAGACUCCUACGGGAGGCAGCAGUGGGGAAUAUUGCACAAUGGGCGGAAGGCUGAUGCAGCAACGCCGCGUGCGGGAUGACGGCCUUCGGGUUGUAAACCGCUUUCGCCUGUGACGAAGCGUGAGUGACGGUAAUGGGUAAAGAAGCACCGGCUAACUACGUG